Molecule: long non-coding RNA, 1434 nt
Filed under: Gadus morhua (Atlantic cod)
Lineage: Eukaryota; Metazoa; Chordata; Actinopteri; Gadiformes; Gadidae
Description: lncRNA (ENSGMOG00000036728.1)
Source: RNAcentral
AUGAGAGACAGGGAAAGGUUAGUGCUAGCUUUGUUCAAAAUGGAGGGAGAGAGGUGGCGCGCAAUACGAGUGGCCAGAAAAAUAAUCACAAAGGAAGAAGAGGCUCAACCUUUGCCUCUGAAGCUUGAGCCACCGCCGUACAAACCAACUAACAUGCAUCCACUGAUAACAGACAACGUGGAAUAUAAAGGGGAAGUCACACUAGAUGAAGGAGAUAAUAAAUGUAACACACAAGGGAGGGUCAGUGGGGACCCAGGCACAGAGGUUUCUGGCUACAGUACAUCCAUUCAAAGCCCCCUAGUACUCCAGUCACGGGGGAAACUAAGGAGAGCACGAAGGGGAAGAAAGGCACCCGACACCCUCCCAGGUAAUUAUCCCAUUCUAGUCAAAGGACAACAGGUCCAAUAUCAACCGUGGGGUUCACAGGACCUGGAGGGAGUCAUUUCUAAACUCCCCAACAUACAUAACGGGGCGUCUAAAUGGAUUGGAACAUUUGAGGAACUCACAGUGGGAAAGCUAAUGGCAGUGGGGGACCUGAAAGCUCUGUUGGCAAGAGUAUUGGGGUUAUCUAAAUUGGAGUCUGUACUGAGGAAUGGAGGGUUGGAUGUAAUGGACGUAAUGCAUGAUGGGAUUACACUUGAUUGCUACAGAGUGGCGAUGUGGAACACACUCAGAAGGGAGUUCCCGACCCAUAUCGAUCAUAAAAAUAUGAGAGGCCUCCCUAUCAAUGACACAGAGAAUCCUGCAUCCUACCUGCAGGCCCAAGUAGACAGAUGGCGCAUGGAGACGGAUGAGGAUCCUGAGAUCCAUCCGGUGUUCUCUGUCAUGUUUAGAAACUCUGUGAUAGAGAUUCUACCUAGCCCAAUCAAAGUUAAACUAGAUGAUGUGGUUGGACUGGUUACAAAUAAACCACAUAGAGACUUCUGUGACCAUGUGGUUCAUGCAGUGGAGAAAUAUCGGCAAAAUAAACAGAAAAUACAGGAACAAAGCAAAGAGGUGCAGAGGAAGCUAUCUCAGCUUCAGUGGGAAGAACUCACAAGAAGAGAGAAAGAGAAGAAGAAACAGGCGGUUGUUUCAGAGCCUGUUGGAACAAUAUUGCAAGCCGUCCAGCAGGGCGCACCACAAACCCAACCUCCUCAACAGGCAUUCUCUACCCUAGUACAACAGCCUCAGAGCCAAUGGUCACCCACUCCACCAUUCAUAUACACCAUUCAGAUACACCUACAUAAUACUGGGAACCCAACAAAUGGGAAUAGGCAGGAUCAGAAUAAGGGGCCCAAAGGUCAGUAUAUAAACAAUUUACAACAAGGACACCAAGGACAGUUUAGAAACAAUCAACAACAAGGAUCCCAAGGACAACGCAGAGGUCCUUUAAUAUGUUAUGGGUGCAACAUGGAAGGACAUAUUAGGAGGAAUUGUUUGGCUAACCCCUAA